UNUGACUUGAGUGCAGAAGGGGAGAGUGGAAUUCCAUGUGUAGCGGUGAAAUGCGUAGAUAUAUGGAGAAACACCAGUGGCGAAAGCGGCUCUCUGNUCUGUCACUGACGCUGAGGCUCGAAAGCGUGGGUAGCGAACAGGAUUAGAUACCCUGGUAGUNCACGCCGUAAACGAUGAGUGCUAGGUGUUAGGCCCUUUCCGGGGCUUAGUGCCGGAGCUAACGCAAUAAGCACUCCGCCUGGGGAGUACGACCGCAAGGUUGAAACUCAAAGGAAUUGACGGGGGCCCGCACAAGCGGUGGAGCAUGUGGUUUAAUUCGAAGCAACGCGAAGAACCUUACCAGGUCUUGACAUCCCGAUGCUAUUCUUAGAGAUAGGAAGUUACUUCGGUACAUCGGAGACAGGUGGUGCAUGGUUGUCGUCAGCUCGUGUCGUGAGAUGUUGGGUUAAGUCCCGCAACGAGCGCAACCCUUAUUGUUAGUUGCCAUCAUUAAGUUGGGCACUCUAGCGAGACUGCCGGUAAUAAACCGGAGGAAGGUGGGGAUGACGUCAAAUCAUCAUGCCCCUUAUGACCUGGGCUACACACGUGCUACAAUGGUCGGUACAACGAGUUGCGAGCCGGUGACGGCAAGCUAAUCUCUGAAAGCCGAUCUCAGUUCGGAUUGGAGGCUGCAACUCGCCUCCAUGAAGUCGGAAUCGCUAGUAAUCGCGGAUCAGCACGCCGCGGUGAAUACGUUCCCGGGCCUUGUACACACCGCCC
RNAcentral lists this ribosomal RNA (759 nucleotides) under uncultured bacterium. RNAcentral describes it as "bacterial SSU rRNA". It matches the Rfam family "Bacterial small subunit ribosomal RNA", at positions 636 to 1395 of the family's 1533-position model. The record is from RNAcentral.